Molecule: ribosomal RNA, 106 nt
Filed under: Medakamo hakoo
Lineage: Eukaryota; Viridiplantae; Chlorophyta; Trebouxiophyceae; Coccomyxaceae
Description: rrn5
Source: RNAcentral
UGAUUCUUAAAGUUCAAAAGGCCCCACCCGAACCCAUUCCGAACUCGAUGCGUGAAAUUUUUGAGCACCAUAUGUACUGCUGUUGUGGGAGACAUGGCAAGAAUCA